GACGGGGCCCGCACAAGCGGCGGAGCAUGCGGAUUAAUUCGAUGCAACGCGAAGAACCUUACCAAGGCUUGACAUACACCGGUAACGCCCAGAGAUGGGUGCCCCUUUGUGGUCGGUGUACAGGUGGUGCAUGGUCGUCGUCAGCUCGUGUCGUGAGAUGUUGGGUUAAGUCCCGCAACGAGCGCAACCCUCGUCCUAUGUUGCCAGCGGGUCAUGCCGGGGACUCAUGGGAGACUGCCGGGGUCAACUCGGAGGAAGGUGGGGAUGACGUCAAAUCAUCAUGCCCCUUAUGUCUUGGGCUUCACGCAUGCUACAAUGGCCGGUACAAAGGGCUGCGAUACCGCGAGGUGGAGCGAAUCCCAGAAAGCCGGUCUCAGUUCGGAUUGGGGUCUGCAACUCGACCCCAUGAAGUCGGAGUCGCUAGUAAUCGCAGAUCAGCAACGCUGCGGUGAAUACGUUCCCGGGCCUU
Molecule: ribosomal RNA, 469 nt
Filed under: uncultured Curtobacterium sp.
Lineage: Bacteria; Bacillati; Actinomycetota; Actinomycetes; Micrococcales; Microbacteriaceae
Description: bacterial SSU rRNA
Rfam family: Bacterial small subunit ribosomal RNA
Source: RNAcentral